RNAcentral lists this long non-coding RNA (309 nucleotides) under Elaeis guineensis (African oil palm). RNAcentral's name for it is "long non-coding RNA (EGUI_LNC019591)". Lineage: Eukaryota; Viridiplantae; Streptophyta; Magnoliopsida; Arecales; Arecaceae. The record is from RNAcentral.
GGUGCCGCCAUGUUGGGUGGAGUCGCAAAGGAGGGUUUCACAUUUCAGGGCUUGGGGUCGGAGCCGACAGAGUCGUGGAUCAGUGGGCACCGGGCGAAGUCACAGAGAAGAAGGUCUGAAGGAGGAUUUUAGGGUGGGGCUGAGGCUGAUGGAGUCACAGAGCAAUGGGCGUUGGAGGAGUCACAGAGCAAUGGCCAGUGGGCAUCGAUGAAGUCACGGAGGAGGGUUUCACUUUUUAGGGCUUGGGGCUGGGGUCAGUGGAGUUGCGAAGCAAUGGGCGUCGGGCGGAGUCAUGGAGAAGAAGGUCUG